AGGACGAACGCUGGCGGCGUGCUUAACACAUGCAAGUCGAGCGGAAAGGCCCUUCGGGGUACUCGAGCGGCGAACGGGUGAGUAACACGUGAGUAACCUGCCCCUAGCUCUGGGAUAGCUCCGGGAAACCGGGAUUAAUACCAGAUACGACCACUUUAGACAUCUGUCGUGGUGGAAAGGAUUCCGGCUAGGGAUGGGCUCGCGGCCUAUCAGCUUGUUGGUGGGGUAACGCCUACCAAGGCGACGACGGGUAGCCGGCCUGAGAGGGCGACCGGCCACACUGGGACUGAGACACGGCCCAGACUCCUACGGGAGGCAGCAGUGGGGAAUAUUGCGCAAUGGGCGAAAGCCUGACGCAGCGACGCCGCGUGGGGGAUGAAGGCCUUCGGGUUGUAAACCCCUUUCAGCAGGGACGAAGCGAAAGUGACGGUACCUGCAGAAGAAGCGCCGGCUAACUACGUGCCAGCAGCCGC
This 473-nucleotide ribosomal RNA is filed under the name uncultured bacterium. RNAcentral describes it as "SSU rRNA". It matches the Rfam family "Bacterial small subunit ribosomal RNA", at positions 26 to 518 of the family's 1533-position model. The record is from RNAcentral.